UGAGGGGAGUCUCAGGCAUUCCAAAGUGAGGAAGUGGAUUCAGAUGUAGUAUCUGUGAGAAAGUACUGACAUGUAAAGGUGGAUAUACUGUUCAUCAGCAGAUGACUUGAAGUCAAAAGAAACGGAGACCAUUCAGUCAUUUCUACAGAUUUCCAAGCACCUAAUGCUCUUAUGUUCAGCUGAGAAAAAAAAAAUGAUGAACAAGCAGAAAAUACAGCAGCAAAGGACAAGGAAGAGAUGGCACACAUUUUAAGAAUGAAAUUAACUUAAUAAAUAUUCAGAUCAUUUCUAAGGGAUGUUACAUUUGGGAAUUCACUUUUCCAGUAUAGUACAGAUACUCGUAUUUUGCUGGUA
Long non-coding RNA from Haliotis rubra (blacklip abalone), 354 nucleotides. RefSeq lists it as uncharacterized. The record is from RefSeq and is a predicted model, not a curated record. The transcript has 3 exons. NCBI's taxonomy places the organism in Eukaryota, Metazoa, Mollusca, Gastropoda, Lepetellida, Haliotidae.